Pelobates cultripes (western spadefoot toad) is the source of this 280-nucleotide non-coding RNA. The record is from the annotation of a GenBank genome assembly. NCBI's taxonomy places the organism in Eukaryota, Metazoa, Chordata, Amphibia, Anura, Pelobatidae.
GCUGUUGCUGGGGGUCAGGCAGCCAUUUUCUGAAGCAGCAUAGGCUGCUGCUUUACGGCGGGGGCGGGGCUUAUCGGCGGGAGGCGGAGCUUCGUUUGGGGGCGGGGCCUGUGCCGGGGAGCCAAUCAGUGCUCCCUCCGGCCACAGACAGCCCCCAGCAGCUCAGCACUGCAUUCCCUCCCUCGGGCUGUAACAGGUUGUUACAGUCCGAGGGAAUCCCAUGGCCAGCAAGUUGCUGGCAUUUGGGGGGGCCCAAGGGGGGGCACAGCAUGAUGUAGGG